This 16-nucleotide ribosomal RNA is filed under the name Aspergillus fumigatus. RNAcentral describes it as "partial 18S ribosomal RNA". The record is from RNAcentral. Lineage: Eukaryota; Fungi; Ascomycota; Eurotiomycetes; Eurotiales; Aspergillaceae.
ACCUGCGGAGUCAUUA